Molecule: ribosomal RNA, 428 nt
Filed under: Chloroflexota bacterium
Lineage: Bacteria; Bacillati; Chloroflexota
Description: Chloroflexi bacterium partial 16S ribosomal RNA
Rfam family: Bacterial small subunit ribosomal RNA
Source: RNAcentral
UGGGGAAUAUUGCACAAUGGGCGCAAGCCUGAUGCAGCCAUGCCGCGUGUAUGAAGAAGGCCUUCGGGUUGUAAAGUACUUUCAGUCGGGAGGAAGGUGGAAGGUUAAUAACCUUGGCAAUUGACGUUACCGACAGAAGAAGCACCGGCUAACUCCGUGCCAGCAGCCGCGGUAAUACGGAGGGUGCAAGCGUUAAUCGGAAUUACUGGGCGUAAAGCGCACGCAGGCGGUUGAUUGAGUCAGAUGUGAAAUCCCCGGGCUUAACCCGGGAAUUGCAUCUGAUACUGGUCAGCUAGAGUCUUGUAGAGGGGGGUAGAAUUCCAUGUGUAGCGGUGAAAUGCGUAGAGAUCUGGAGGAAUACCGGUGGCGAAGGCGGCCCCCUGGACAAAGACUGACGCUCAGGUGCGAAAGCGUGGGGAGCAAACAGG